UACAGAGGUCUCAAGCGUUGUUCGGAUUCAUUGGGCGUAAAGGGCGCGUAGGCUGCGGGGCAAGUCGGGUGUGAAAUCUCAGAGCUCAACUCUGAAACUGCACUCGAUACUGCUUUGCUUGAGGACUGGAGAGGAGAUUGGAAUUCACGGUGUAGCAGUGAAAUGCGUAGAUAUCGUGAGGAAGACCAGUGGCGAAGGCGGGUCUCUGGGCCGAUACUGACGCUGAGGAGCGAAAGCGUGGGGAGCGAACAGG
This 253-nucleotide ribosomal RNA is filed under the name uncultured bacterium. Its description in RNAcentral is "partial 16S ribosomal RNA". It matches the Rfam family "Bacterial small subunit ribosomal RNA", at positions 524 to 776 of the family's 1533-position model. The record is from RNAcentral.